CUGGCUCAGGAUGAACGCUGGCGGCGUGCUUAACACAUGCAAGUCGAACGAACCUUCGGGUUAGUGGCGGACGGGUGAGUAACGCGUGAGAAUCUGCCCUCAGGAGGGGGAUAACGGUUGGAAACGACCGCUAAUACCCCAUAUGCCGAGAGGUGAAAUGAAUUUCGCCUGAGGAUGAGCUCGCGUCUGAUUAGCUAGUUGGUGUGGUAAUGGCGCACCAAGGCUUCGAUCAGUAGCUGGUCUGAGAGGAUGAUCAGCCACACUGGGACUGAGACACGGCCCAGACUCCUACGGGAGGCAGCAGUGGGGAAUUUUCCGCAAUGGGCGAAAGCCUGACGGAGCAACGCCGCGUGAGGGAUGAAGGCCUCUGGGCUGUAAACCUCUUUUAUCAAGGAAGAAGAUCUGACGGUACUUGAUGAAUAAGCCACGGCUAAUUCCGUGCCAGCAGCCGCGGUAAUACGGGAGUGGCAAGCGUUAUCCGGAAUUAUUGGGCGUAAAGCGUCCGCAGGCGGUCUUGUAAGUCUGUCGUUAAAGCGUGGAGCUUAACUCCAUUUCGGCGGUGGAAACUACAAGACUAGAGUGUGGUAGGGGCAGAGGGAAUUCCCGGUGUAGCGGUGAAAUGCGUAGAUAUCGGGAAGAACACCAGUGGCGAAGGCGCUCUGCUGGGCCAUAACUGACGCUCAUGGACGAAAGCCAGGGGAGCGAAAGGGAUUAGAUACCCCUGUAGUCCUGGCCGUAAACGAUGAACACUAGGUGUCGGGGGAAUCGACCCCCUCGGUGUCGUARCCAACGCGUUAAGUGUUCCGCCUGGGGAGUACGCACGCAAGUGUGAAACUCAAAGGAAUUGACGGGGGCCCGCACAAGCGGUGGAGUAUGUGGUUUAAUUCGAUGCAACGCGAAGAACCUUACCAGGGUUUGACAUCCUGCGAAUCCCUUGGAAACGAGGGAGUGCCUUCGGGAGCGCAGUGACAGGUGGUGCAUGGCUGUCGUCAGCUCGUGUCGUGAGAUGUUGGGUUAAGUCCCGCAACGAGCGCAACCCACGUUUUUAGUUGCCAGCAUUCAGUUGGGCACUCUAGAAAGACUGCCGGUGAUAAACCGGAGGAAGGUGUGGAUGACGUCAAGUCAUCAUGCCCCUUACAUCCUGGGCUACACACGUACUACAAUGCUACGGACAAAGGGCAGCAAACUCGCGAGAGCUAGCAAAUCCCAUAAACCGUGGCUCAGUUCAGAUCGUAGGCUGCAACUCGCCUACGUGAAGGCGGAAUCGCUAGUAAUCGCAGGUCAGCAUACUGCGGUGAAUACGUUCCCGGGCCUUGUACACACCGCCCGUCACACCAUGGAAGUUGGCCACGCCCGAAGUCGUUACUCCAACCCUUGUGGAGGAGGACGCCGAAGGUGGGGCUGAUGACUGGGGUGAAGUCGUAACAAGGUAGCCGUACCGGAAGGUGCGGCUGGAUCACCUCCU
Molecule: ribosomal RNA, 1465 nt
Filed under: Synechococcus sp. MH305
Lineage: Bacteria; Bacillati; Cyanobacteriota; Cyanophyceae; Synechococcales; Synechococcaceae
Description: 16S ribosomal RNA
Rfam family: Bacterial small subunit ribosomal RNA
Source: RNAcentral